Molecule: ribosomal RNA, 253 nt
Filed under: uncultured bacterium
Lineage: Bacteria
Description: partial 16S ribosomal RNA
Rfam family: Bacterial small subunit ribosomal RNA
Source: RNAcentral
UACGUAGGGUGCAAGCGUUGUCCGGAAUUAUUGGGCGUAAAGAGCUCGUAGGCGGUCUGUCGCGUCGGACGUGAAAACCCAGGGCUCAACCCUGGGCCUGCGUUCGAUACGGGCAGACUAGAGUUCGGUAGGGGAGACUGGAAUUCCUGGUGUAGCGGUGAAAUGCGCAGAUAUCAGGAGGAACACCGGUGGCGAAGGCGGGUCUCUGGGCCGAUACUGACGCUGUAGAGCGAAAGCGUGGGGAGCGAACAGG